This 510-nucleotide ribosomal RNA is filed under the name Helophorus guttulus. Its description in RNAcentral is "partial 16S ribosomal RNA". The stretch from base 386 to 510 matches the Rfam family "Bacterial large subunit ribosomal RNA", at positions 2473 to 2597 of the family's 2925-position model. The record is from RNAcentral. Lineage: Eukaryota; Metazoa; Arthropoda; Insecta; Coleoptera; Helophoridae.
GUCUUUUUGAUAAUAAUUUAAGGUUUAACCUGCUCAAUGAAAAUUAAAUAGCUGCAGUAUUUUGACUGUACAAAGGUAGCAUAAUAAAUAGUUUCUUAAUUAGAAGCUGGUAUGAAUGGUUGGACGAGAUAAUUUCUGUCUCUUUUAAAAUUUUUUUGAAUUUUAUUUUUAAGUUAAAAAGCUUAAAUUUUUUUUAUAGACGAGAAGACCCUAUAGAGUUUAAUUAAAUUUUAAAUUUAAAUUUUGAAGAAAUUUGAUUAGUUUAUAUUUUUAAUUUAAUUUUGUUGGGGUGAUGUAAAAAUUAAUUAAACUUUUUAAUUAUUAAAGCAUUAAUUUAUGUAUAAUUGAUCCAUUUUUUAUGAUUAUUAGAUUAAAUUACCUUAGGGAUAACAGCGUAAUUUUUUUAGAGAGUUCUAAUCGAUAAAAAAGUUUGCGACCUCGAUGUUGGAUUAAAAUUAAAAUUUGGUGUAGAAGCUAAAUAAUUUAGGUCUGUUCGACCUUUAAAAUUUU